GCCUAACCAAUCCGCACAUUCCGUCCCGCAGGCCCCAGGGAUUGGUUGACUGGUGGACACGUGACGGAACGAAUCUUGGGAGACUCGCUGGGGCUUCUGCUGGGAGAAUUGAGGAAGAGAAGCUUUCUCUUUGCUGGGACUGCUGGCGCCAAGAGGGAUACUUGGAGCUAUGAAGAGUGAACCUGGAGCUGCUGGGGAUCCAUAUGGAGAAAACUUGC
This 218-nucleotide long non-coding RNA is filed under the name Mustela putorius furo (domestic ferret). RNAcentral's name for it is "lncRNA (ENSMPUG00000026787.1)". Lineage: Eukaryota; Metazoa; Chordata; Mammalia; Carnivora; Mustelidae. The record is from RNAcentral.